Molecule: ribosomal RNA, 382 nt
Filed under: uncultured eukaryote
Lineage: Eukaryota
Description: partial 18S ribosomal RNA
Rfam family: Eukaryotic small subunit ribosomal RNA
Source: RNAcentral
UGUAAGCGUAUACCAAAGUUGUUGCAGUUAAAACGCUCGUAGUCGGAAUUUGGCAGUUCCGGAUGUGUGCACGUCGUGUGCGCACUUCGCGGGGAUUGCUUUUGUGGUCUUGCGUAGGAUGAGGCACUUUUAUUAGUGAACGUCCUCACACAACCACUUUUUACUGUGAGAAAAUCAGAGUGCUCAAAGCAGGCAUUUGCCGUGAAUGUAUUAGCAUGGAACAAUAGAAUAGGACUUGGUUCUAUUUUGUUGGUUUGUUGGGACUGAGUAAUGAUUAAGAGGGACAGUUGGGGGCAUUUGUAUUUCGGUGCUAGAGGUGAAAUUCUUAGAUUACCGAAAGACAAACUGCUGCGAAAGCGUCUGCCAAGGAUGUUUUCAUUGA